CCAUCUUUGAUUUAUCAAAUAGCCGAGGCAACAAGUGUCGAGAGUCGAGCAAAGUAUAUAACUAUUACAAAGCCGGGGCUUGCUCAAAAUCACAUGGGAGUAAGCUGCUUCAGUCCUGUCAUUAACAUUGUCAGGGACCCCCUGGUGGGGAAGAAAUCAGGAGACAUACGGGGAAGACCCUUUCCAAAGCGGUGUUCUUGCAGCCAGCUUCGUCCGAGGACUGGGGGCAACGACACUCGAUAUGUGCGCGCCAACGCCGGAUGUAAACACUUCGCGGCCUAUGAUGGCCCAGAAUAUACCAAUGUUGAGAUUUCAAUUUGAUGCCAUGGUCAGCGAACGUGACCUUCGAACGACCUUCACUCCCUUAUGCAUUCAGGGCCUGUGUCAAGGCUGGAACAUACAGUUUCAUGUGCGGCUACAAUAGCGAACGGCGUCCCGACGUGUGCCAGUAAGCAACUUCUCACCGACAUUCUCAGAGGAGAGUGGGGUUUUACAGGAUACGUCGUGAGCGACGGGGGCACUAUAAGGAACGUUAAAUCCGGUCACCACUACGCCAACACCUCCGUGGACAUCGUGUCCGACUGCGUGAACGCAGGAUGCAACUUGGAACUAUCUGCACAUGAGAACAAUCUGCAAUACUAUCAUGUAUCCGAGGCCAUACAGCAAGGGGCAAGCUUACAGAGGAAACAGUCAGAAAGUCUCAAACCCUUGUUCUGCACACUCGAAUGAGGUUGGGCGGUUCGAUCCCAGAUAUGAACCCAUAUUCCAAACUUGACAUCUCUGUGAUUGAAAGCAGGGCUCCGCAGAUAGCGCACGUCAGAGGCAGCCAUGAAGACCUUUGUGUUGCUGAAGAACAUGGGCAACAUCUUGCCCUAAAGAGCGACACUUUUGACACGAUUGCAGUUGUUGGAUUCCAUGGCCAAUGAUACAUCUAAUUUGUUUAAGGACUAUGCGCCUGCGACGCCUCGAUAACUUCGCCAUACAAGCUGCCCUGCAAAGUCAGAGAAAAGCUGGCUAAGUCUGUCAACUACGCAGCCGGAUGUAACGACAACUUCUGUAAAACGUUGCAGGCGAUUGUGGCUGUGAAGAAAGCAGUCCUCGUGACAGAGAUUAUAUUUGUGUGUCUUGG
Molecule: long non-coding RNA, 1129 nt
Organism: Haliotis rubra (blacklip abalone)
Lineage: Eukaryota; Metazoa; Mollusca; Gastropoda; Lepetellida; Haliotidae
Exons: 6
Source: RefSeq, a predicted model, not a curated record